Molecule: long non-coding RNA, 209 nt
Filed under: Elaeis guineensis (African oil palm)
Lineage: Eukaryota; Viridiplantae; Streptophyta; Magnoliopsida; Arecales; Arecaceae
Description: long non-coding RNA (EGUI_LNC005709)
Source: RNAcentral
GCCCGGCCAAAAAAAAAAAAGUUCCCUGUGAAGUAUCAAAGCUCCCAUCAUCUAAAGAUUUUCCUGAAAUUACCUUGAUUGAAGUUCUACUUAUCAAGAAUUAGCCAUGAAAUCAAGAAACAUGCUAUUAAAUCUAGACCUACUACGCCAAGAACAGAUAGUGUUUAAAUAAUAAGCAAUGAUUAUAAAAAUUAUAAAAAAUUAUAGUA